ACUUUUAAAGGAUAAGAGUAAUCC
Molecule: transfer RNA, 24 nt
Filed under: Phrynosoma hernandesi
Lineage: Eukaryota; Metazoa; Chordata; Lepidosauria; Squamata; Phrynosomatidae
Description: partial tRNA-Leu
Source: RNAcentral